Molecule: long non-coding RNA, 280 nt
Filed under: Trifolium pratense (red clover)
Lineage: Eukaryota; Viridiplantae; Streptophyta; Magnoliopsida; Fabales; Fabaceae
Description: long non-coding RNA (TPRA_LNC000745)
Source: RNAcentral
AAAAAAAGAGGGCUUAUUAUAUGAAAACUAAGCAAAAGGACAAAAAGUAACAAGACAGUUGAGAACAUUUGGCAUCUUGGACUUUAUAGUUUGAUUAGAAUAUUGUGGAAGGAAAAUAUGCCAUCAAGCCAACUUGGUAUAUUCUUAUGAUACAAACUGCAAAGUUUAAAUGAUUGCAACAGAGUGCCUUUCACUUUGUACAUGAUUGUCACUUUCUGGUAGUAUUGCCGGGGAAAGUAAGCAGAUUGGUGAACAAUAAUAUCAUGAUAUAUAAUUAAAG